This 352-nucleotide unclassified non-coding RNA is filed under the name soil metagenome. Its description in RNAcentral is "partial contains 5.8S ribosomal RNA, internal transcribed spacer 2, and large subunit ribosomal RNA". The stretch from base 1 to 120 matches the Rfam family "5.8S ribosomal RNA", at positions 35 to 154 of the family's 154-position model. The record is from RNAcentral.
GAUGAAGAACGCAGCGAAAUGCGAUAAGUAAUGUGAAUUGCAGAAUUCAGUGAAUCAUCGAAUCUUUGAACGCACAUUGCGCCCAUUAGUAUUCUAGUGGGCAUGCCUGUUCGAGCGUCAUUACAACCCUCAGGCCCCCGGGCCUGGCGUUGGGGAUCGGCGGAGCCCCCCGUGGGCACACGCCGUCCCCCAAAUGCAGUGGCGGUCCCGCCGCAGCUUCCAUCGCGUAGUAGCUAACACCUCGCGACUGGAGAGCGGCGCGGCCACGCCGUAAAACACCCAACUCUUCUGAAGUUGACCUCGAAUCAGGUAGGAAUACCCGCUGAACUUAAGCAUAUCAAUAAGCGGAGGA